Anolis carolinensis (green anole) is the source of this 795-nucleotide long non-coding RNA. RefSeq lists it as uncharacterized. The transcript is spliced from 2 exons. The record is from RefSeq and is a predicted model, not a curated record. Lineage: Eukaryota; Metazoa; Chordata; Lepidosauria; Squamata; Anolidae.
AAAGUCCCGUGGGCUCCUCCCGGCCUGGGCUGAAGAAGAGCUCCCCGGUGCCUCCCUCCUUGUCCUCACCCCACAAAGGGCCCAAGGCCGCAGAGACCGGAACAGCCGCGACCAUGGAAACGACGAGGCUCCCAAGCAGGACACUGAGACCCUCUGGUGGGUGGCUACUCCAAUCAGCCAGAACCCGACUGGAGACUGUCACCCAGAGGACCUUUUCAUCAGCUGCCCAAACACUGUGGAAUGACCUACCAGAAGAGCUAAACAAGGUAUCCGAAUUUAAAAGGCAAUUGAAGACCCAUCUCUUCCAGCAGGCCCACCCAGUCAACUUUUAGUCAUGAGUUCUGAUUUGCAUUCCAUUACCGCUUAUGUCGGAGCCCCCGAUGGCACAAAGGGUGCUUGUGCCAGCAGGACUGCUGACCGAAAGGUUGGCAGUUCGAAUCCGGGGAGCGGGAGAGCUCCCGUCUGUCAGCUCCAGCUUCCCAUCCAGGGACAUGAGAGAAGCCUCCCACAGGAUGGUAAAACAUCCAGGCAUCCCCUGGGUAACGUCCUUGCAGACAGCCAAUUCUCUCACACCAGAAGCGACUUGCAGUUUCUCAAGUCGCUCCUGACACAAAAAAGAAACGCUGUAUGUCAAUUCUGCAGCUAUGUUUGGUAUACAUUUUCAUGUGUGCAUGUGUGUCUAUGAAAUUUAGUAAUUUAUUGUAUUUUAUGUUCAUUUGUUUUUGAAUUUGUUGUACCCUGUUUGAGGUAUUGGGAGAGGCAAGUAAUAAAUAAAAAGUAUUAUCAUCAUCAUAA